UUCGGAGGGGACUAGCGUUGUUCGGAAUUACUGGGCGUAAAGCGCACGUAGGCGGUUUUGUAAGUCAGGGGUGAAAUCCCGGGGCUCAACCUCGGAACUGCCUUUGAUACUGCAAAUCUCGAGUCCGGAAGAGGUGAGUGGAAUUCCUAGUGUAGAGGUGAAAUUCGUAGAUAUUAGGAAGAACACCAGUGGCGAAGGCGGCUCACUGGUCCGGUACUGACGCUGAGGUGCGAAAGCGUGGGGAGCAAACAGG
RNAcentral lists this ribosomal RNA (253 nucleotides) under uncultured bacterium. RNAcentral describes it as "partial 16S ribosomal RNA". It matches the Rfam family "Bacterial small subunit ribosomal RNA", at positions 524 to 776 of the family's 1533-position model. The record is from RNAcentral.